UACGGAGGUUGCAAGCGUUGUUCGGAAUUACUGGGCGUAAAGGGCGUGUAGGCGGCCUUCUAAGUCAGACGUGAAAUCCCCCGGCUUAACCUGGGAACUGCGUCUGAUACUGGGAGGCUAGAGUAUGGGAGAGGGAUGUGGAAUUCCAGGUGUAGCGGUGAAAUGCGUAGAUAUCUGGAGGAACACCGGUGGCGAAGGCGGCAUCCUGGACCAUUACUGACGCUGAUCCGCGAAAGCUAGGGGAGCAAACGGG
RNAcentral lists this ribosomal RNA (253 nucleotides) under uncultured bacterium. RNAcentral describes it as "partial 16S ribosomal RNA". It matches the Rfam family "Bacterial small subunit ribosomal RNA", at positions 524 to 776 of the family's 1533-position model. The record is from RNAcentral.